This 505-nucleotide ribosomal RNA is filed under the name uncultured bacterium. RNAcentral's name for it is "bacterial SSU rRNA". It matches the Rfam family "Bacterial small subunit ribosomal RNA", at positions 109 to 608 of the family's 1533-position model. The record is from RNAcentral.
CUUAGUAUGUCUGGGAAACUGCCCGAUGGAGGGGGAUAACUACUGGAAACGGUAGCUAAUACCGCAUAACGUCGCAAGACCAAAGUGGGGGACCUUCGGGCCUCACACCAUCGGAUGUGCCCAGAUGGGAUUAGCUAGUAGGUGGGGUAAUGGCUCACCUAGGCGACGAUCCCUAGCUGGUCUGAGAGGAUGACCAGCCACACUGGAACUGAGACACGGUCCAGACUCCUACGGGAGGCAGCAGUGGGGAAUAUUGCACAAUGGGCGCAAGCCUGAUGCAGCCAUGCCGCGUGUAUGAAGAAGGCCUUCGGGUUGUAAAGUACUUUCAGCGGGGAGGAAGGCGGUGGAGUUAAUAGCUUCACCGAUUGACGUUACCCGCAGAAGAAGCACCGGCUAACUCCGUGCCUGCAGCCGCGGUAAUACGGAGGGUGCAAGCGUUAAUCGGAAUUACUGGGCGUAAAGCGCACGCAGGCGGUCUGUCAAGUCGGAUGUGAAAUCCCCCGGG